UACGUAGGGUCCGAGCGUUGUCCAGAAUUAUUGGGCGUAAAGCGCGCGCAGGCGGCCUUUUAAGUCUGAUGUGAAAGCCCACGGCUCAACCGUGGAAGGUCAUUGGAAACUGAAAGGCUUGAGUACAGAAGAGGAAAGCGGAAUUCCACGUGUAGCGGUGAAAUGCGUAGAGAUGUGGAGGAACACCAGUGGCGAAGGCGGCUUUCUGGUCUGUAACUGACGCUGAGGCGCGAAAGCUAGGGGAGCAAACGGG
This 253-nucleotide ribosomal RNA is filed under the name uncultured bacterium. RNAcentral's name for it is "partial 16S ribosomal RNA". It matches the Rfam family "Bacterial small subunit ribosomal RNA", at positions 524 to 776 of the family's 1533-position model. The record is from RNAcentral.